GCCACAAUGAAGACUGUUGUAUCUCAGGA
This 29-nucleotide non-coding RNA is filed under the name Mus musculus (house mouse). The record is from RNAcentral. Lineage: Eukaryota; Metazoa; Chordata; Mammalia; Rodentia; Muridae.